This 433-nucleotide ribosomal RNA is filed under the name uncultured bacterium. Its description in RNAcentral is "partial 16S ribosomal RNA". It matches the Rfam family "Bacterial small subunit ribosomal RNA", at positions 29 to 507 of the family's 1533-position model. The record is from RNAcentral.
AACGAACGCUGGCGGCAUGCCUAACACAUGCAAGUCGAGCGAGGACUUCGGUUCUAUCGGCGGACGGGUGAGUAACGCGUGGGAAUGUUCCCUUCUCUACGGAAUAGCCCUGGGAAACUGGGAGUAAUACCGUAUACGCCCUUUUGGCGAAAGAUUUAUCGGAGAAGGAUCAGCCCGCGUUGGAUAAGGUAUUUGGUUGGGUAAUGGCCUACCAAGCCGACGAUCCAUAGCUGGUUUGAGAGGAUGAUCAGCCACACUGGGAGUGAGACACGGCCCAGACUCCUACGGGAGGCAGCAGUGGGGAAUGGUAGACAAUGGGGGCAAGCCUGAUCUAGCCAGGCCGGGUGAGUGAUGAAGGCCUUAAGGUUGUAAAGCUCUGUCAGCUGGGAAGAUAAUGACGGUACCAGCAGAAGAAGCCACGGCUAACUCCGUG